UACGUAGGGUGCGAGCGUUAAUCGGAAUUACUGGGCGUAAAGAGCGCGCAGGCGGUCGUAUAAGUCGAAUGUGAAAGCCCCUGGCUCAACUAGGGAGAGUCAUUCGAUACUGUUCGACUCGAAGGCAGGAGAGGGAAGUGGAAUUCCGGGUGUAGUGGUGAAACGCGUAGAUAUCCGGAGGAACACCAGUGGCGAAGGCGACUUUCUGGCCUGUUCUUGACGCUGAGGCGCGAAAGCUAGGGGAGCAAACGGG
RNAcentral lists this ribosomal RNA (253 nucleotides) under uncultured bacterium. Its description in RNAcentral is "partial 16S ribosomal RNA". It matches the Rfam family "Bacterial small subunit ribosomal RNA", at positions 524 to 776 of the family's 1533-position model. The record is from RNAcentral.